RNAcentral lists this ribosomal RNA (899 nucleotides) under Hyphodontia alutaria. Its description in RNAcentral is "partial small subunit ribosomal RNA". It matches the Rfam family "Bacterial small subunit ribosomal RNA", at positions 233 to 1205 of the family's 1533-position model. Lineage: Eukaryota; Fungi; Basidiomycota; Agaricomycetes; Hymenochaetales; Schizoporaceae. The record is from RNAcentral.
ACAUUCGAUUAGGUAGUUGGUAGGGUAGAAGCCUCCCAAGCCGAUGAUCGAUAGUCAAGUUUGACAGAACAAAUGACCACAUUGGGAAUGAAAUAUCCCAAGUAGCGCUAUGCUACCAGCAGUCAAGAAUAUUAGUCAAUGCUCGCAAGAGUGAACUAGCUAACUGAAAUCAAUGGUGUGUCAUCAUUGAUAAUGUAAGGGAAAAAAAAAGAUAUUACCUUACUAUUAGUGUCGUCCAAGUACUCGUGCCAGAAGACUCGGUAAGGCGAGAGACGCGAACGUUAUUCGUCUUGAUCAGGCGUAAAGGGUUUGUAGGCGGCUUUAAGAAUCAAUUUUAUUUAAUAACCUUUUUCUUAAAAGAAUUAAAUAAUUUGAUCAAUUAAAGCUAGAAUCAAGAAGAGGUUAUAUUAUAUAAUACUUAGAGUAAGAUUGACAUCUGAAAAUACUAAGCGGAAUACUAACGGCGAAGGCUUUUUUCCAAUAAUGAUUGACGCUGAGAAACUAAGGUGAGGAUAGAAAAAAGGAUUAGAGACCCUCGUAUCCCUCACUGUCAACGAUGAAUGGUAGUUACUAAGUAACAGAAUAAUAAUUCUAUACUUCCCAAUUAUAAUUUAAGUUUUAUAGCAAAUUAAGUUAAUAAUGGGGCUAAAAGUAAUCAAAUAAACUUAGAGACGAUGUUAACACGUAACCAUUCCGCCUUGUGAGUACGACUGCAAAGUUGAAAACAAAAAAAUUAGUCGGUUUCGGAGCAAACGAAGUGAAGCAUGUUAUUUAAUACGAUACCCCGCGUAAAAUCUUACCAGUCCUUGCAUAAAACUUUUUAUAAUUUAACUCUUUUUAUUAGUCUUAAAUUAUAUACUAUAUUAUAUUAACCUACUACCCCUUUCCACUACCUUUAC